GGGACUGGCGCUGGAGCCCAGCGUGGGAUGACCGUGCCCCGAAAACAUGCCAGUGAAUGGAAAGAAGCCAAGGUCCCCUCCCUCCCUGCUUAUACCCUCAACUUUGCCAAUGAGGACCCUAAAUACCAGCUGCACUACAGGGGAUGUAACUACAUACACCGUCACCAAAGUUGCAGCCUGGCCAAGAAAUGCCAGGGGACGUCGCGGCGAUUGCAGACUCCGCGGUGACUGUGUAGAUACGUCCAGAAUUCGCCCUUGUAGCGCGGGGAGAGGCGAGAGUGAAGGCCUAGAAAAAAAGAAGAAUAAAUGGGACAUUACACAAGGUAUGUUUCUCUGAUUUUCCACUUUCUAUCC
Molecule: long non-coding RNA, 354 nt
Filed under: Homo sapiens (human)
Lineage: Eukaryota; Metazoa; Chordata; Mammalia; Primates; Hominidae
Description: HSALNT0369830
Source: RNAcentral